AUUGCACGCUGGCGGCAGGCCUAACACAUGCAAGUCGAACGAGUGGCGGACGGGUGAGUAAUGUCUGGGAAACUGCCCGAUGGAGGGGGAUAACUACUGGAAACGGUAGCUAAUACCGCAUACCAUCGGAUGUUCCCAGAUGGGAUUAGCUAGUAGGUGGGGUAAUGGUUCACCUAGGCGACGAUCCCUAGCUGGUCUGAGAGGAGGACCAGCCACACUGGAACUGAGCCACGUUCCAGCCUCCUACGGGAGGCAGCAGUGGGGAAUAGUGCACAAUGGGCGCAAGCCUGAUGCAGCCAUGCCGCGUGUAUGAAGAAGGCCUUCGGGUUGUAAAGUACUUUCAGCGAGGAGGCGUUACUCGCAGAAGAAGCACCGGCUAACUCCGUGCCAGCAGCCGCGGUAAUUC
Molecule: ribosomal RNA, 406 nt
Filed under: uncultured bacterium
Lineage: Bacteria
Description: partial 16S ribosomal RNA
Rfam family: Bacterial small subunit ribosomal RNA
Source: RNAcentral